UAGGGAAUAUUAGAAAUGGACGAAAGUCUGAUCUAGCAACACCGCGUGUGCGAAGAAGGCCUUCGGGUUGUAAAGCACUUUUUGGAAGGAUUAGGAAGGAAUGUACUUCCAGAAUAAGUCUCGGCUAACUACGUGCCAGCAGCCGCGGUAACACGUAGGAGGCAAACGUUAUCCGGAUUUACUGGGCGUAAAGCGCGUGUAGGUGGUUCUGUAAGUAGGGCGUGAAAGCUCCUGGCUCAACUGGGAGAGGCCGUUCUAAACUGCCGGACUAGAGGAUGGUAGAGGGAGGUGGAAUUCCGAGUGUAGUGGUGGAAUGCGUAGAUAUUCGGAGGAACACCAGUGGCGAAAGCGGCCUCCUGGCUCAUAACUGACGCUCAGACGCGAAAGCUAGGGUAGCAAACG
This 402-nucleotide ribosomal RNA is filed under the name uncultured prokaryote. Its description in RNAcentral is "bacterial SSU rRNA". It matches the Rfam family "Bacterial small subunit ribosomal RNA", at positions 355 to 774 of the family's 1533-position model. The record is from RNAcentral.